UGGGAAGAAGUAAUGACGGUACUUGAGGAAUCAGCAUCGGCUAACUCCGUGCCAGCAGCCGCGGUAAUACGGAGGAUGCAAGCGUUAUCCGGAAUUAUUGGGCGUAAAGCGUCCGCAGGUGGCCCAUCAAGUCUGCUGUUAAAGCCCACAGCUCAACUCUGGAUAGGCAGUGGAAACUGCUGGGCUAGAGAGCGGUAGGGGCAGAGGGAAUUC
This 213-nucleotide ribosomal RNA is filed under the name uncultured cyanobacterium. RNAcentral's name for it is "partial 16S ribosomal RNA". It matches the Rfam family "Bacterial small subunit ribosomal RNA", at positions 441 to 669 of the family's 1533-position model. The record is from RNAcentral. Lineage: Bacteria; Bacillati; Cyanobacteriota.